Brassica napus (rape) is the source of this 633-nucleotide long non-coding RNA. RefSeq lists it as uncharacterized. The record is from RefSeq and is a predicted model, not a curated record. NCBI's taxonomy places the organism in Eukaryota, Viridiplantae, Streptophyta, Magnoliopsida, Brassicales, Brassicaceae. The transcript has 5 exons.
AGCCUUCAUUAACAGAGCUAAAGACUAUAAUGCCUUUUUUUCAACUGUGAUAUUAUCUCAACAAAAAAAAAUAUGGUGAAGUAAUCUCCAGCGACGAGUCACCUCCGGCGACGAGCUCUUGAAGUCCGACGAGAAACGAAGUGGUGAUUAUCCAUGUCGACGAAAUGAGCUGUGUAUCGAACUUGGCUUAUGGAAGAAGAAGAGUUCGUGACCUUGCUUUUUGAAUGAGACAGAGCCACCAAAUGAAACACUUGCCUUUCCAUUGUCUCCACAGACUGGGACUCAAAAUUUUUCUCCUAAUAAAGACAGAGCCAUCGAAUGCGACACUUGCCUCUCCAUUGUCUCCACAGACUCAGACUCAAGUUUUUCUCCCUAAUAUGACACAACACAAUGAGACUGAGUCAUCGAAUGAGGCCCCAUCCAAUCCAAAACCAGUAGAACAAUAACUUGACAAUGAUGUAAGAUUUAUUCUGAAAAGACUCUUAUGUAGGCUCGUGAAUUUUCUUAUGACAUUGUUAAUCGCUUGCUUGUGCUUGUGAAACUCUGUGGUUUUGUUAAUUGUAGGAAGGAUUUGUUUAGUUUCAGUUCUGGAAAGCUUUUCAGAAAAUCCAAUAUUAACAAAUUUGAGAAACU